CGCGUAGGCGGUCGCCUAAGUCGGACGUGAAAUCCCCAAGCUUAACUUGGGAACUGCGUCUGAUACUGGGUGACUUGAGUUCGGGAGAGGAAUGUGGAAUUCCAGGUGUAGCGGUGAAAUGCGUAGAUAUCUGGAGGAACACCGGUGGCGAAGGCGGCAUUCUGGACCGAAACUGACGCUGAGGCGCGAAAGCCAGGGGAGCAAACG
This 207-nucleotide ribosomal RNA is filed under the name uncultured bacterium. Its description in RNAcentral is "partial 16S ribosomal RNA". It matches the Rfam family "Bacterial small subunit ribosomal RNA", at positions 568 to 774 of the family's 1533-position model. The record is from RNAcentral.